This 290-nucleotide ribosomal RNA is filed under the name uncultured bacterium. Its description in RNAcentral is "partial 16S ribosomal RNA". It matches the Rfam family "Bacterial small subunit ribosomal RNA", at positions 333 to 640 of the family's 1533-position model. The record is from RNAcentral.
UAAAACCUACGGGGCGCAGCAGUGGGGAAUAUUGCACAAUGGGGGAAACCCUGAUGCAGCAACGCCGCGUGAGUGAAGAAGUAUUUCGGUAUGUAAAGCUCUAUCAGCAGGGAAGAAGAUGACGGUACCUGAAUAAGAAGCCCCGGCUAACUGCGUGCCAGCAGCCGCGGUAAUACGUAGGGGGCAAGCGUUAUCCGGAUUUACUGGGUGUAAAGGGAGCGCAGACGGCAGUGAAAGUCUGGAGUGAAAGCCCGGGGCCCAACCCCGGAACUGCUCUGGAAACUGUGCGG